Molecule: ribosomal RNA, 449 nt
Filed under: uncultured bacterium
Lineage: Bacteria
Description: partial 16S ribosomal RNA
Rfam family: Bacterial small subunit ribosomal RNA
Source: RNAcentral
GAUGAAUGCUGGCGGCGUGCCUAACACAUGCAAGUCGAGCGGCAGCGAGGGGUGCUUGCACCCUGUCGGCGAGCGGCGAACGGCUGAGUAACGCGUAGGAAUUUGCCCCAAAGUGAGGAAUAACUGCCCGAAAGGGUAGCUAAUGCCGCAUAUGGUCUUCGGAUUAAAGGAUUUAUCCGCUUUGGGAGAAGCCUGCGUUGGAUUAGGUUGUUGGUAGGGUAAUGGCCUACCAAGCCGACGAUCCAUAGCUGGUCUGAGAGGAUGAUCAGCCAGACUGGAACUGAGACACGGUCCAGACUCCUACGGGAGGCAGCAGUGAGGAAUCUUCCACAAUGGGCGAAAGCCUGAUGGAGCAACGCCGCGUGAAGGAUGAAGGCCUUCGGGUUGUAAACUUCUUUUAUGAGUGAAGAAUAUGACGGUAACUCAUGAAUAAGCACCGGCUAACUACG